RNAcentral lists this long non-coding RNA (280 nucleotides) under Brassica napus (rape). RNAcentral describes it as "long non-coding RNA (BNAP_LNC017953)". Lineage: Eukaryota; Viridiplantae; Streptophyta; Magnoliopsida; Brassicales; Brassicaceae. The record is from RNAcentral.
GUUUGAGAGGAGAAAAUGAAACAAGUUUUUUUCUGUUAAAAUGAAGCAAGUUAAGACAAGCCAUAUUAAAAUAACCACAGUAUAUCAUUUAUAUAUUAUAUAAUAAACAAUAAAUGCCAUUAAAUCAUGUGCUGGUAAUUUUUCUUUUCUAUUCUUUGAUGGGUUGUUUAGAGUCUUAUGAAGAAGCUUAAGUUCUAUUUAAUUAUAUGGUUUUAAUUGUUAUGGUCAUCUUUUUUCAUUUGGCAUAUUUAAACAAAACACAAAGAAUCAUUUGUAUAAG